Long non-coding RNA from Magnolia sinica, 496 nucleotides. RefSeq lists it as uncharacterized. The record is from RefSeq and is a predicted model, not a curated record. NCBI's taxonomy places the organism in Eukaryota, Viridiplantae, Streptophyta, Magnoliopsida, Magnoliales, Magnoliaceae. The transcript is spliced from 3 exons.
GGGAAAAGGCAAUUGAGAGGAAUCUUAUUACUAAUGCCGAGGUUGGUAGGGCUGAGGUGUACAUCCGAGCCCAUACAACAAAGGAUAACAAAGUGCAGUUUCAAUAAGCCUUUUCAAUUGAGAGUGAUAGUAGAGGGUGCAUGCGGGGGAUAGGUGGAAAUGUAGGCAAGAUUGCAUUGAAGAAGACAAUGCCUAUUAUACAUAAGCUCGGUGCGGUGUCGCAAGAACGAGAUAAUUUGAUAGAUGAAUUAAGUGAAGUGAAGAAAAGCCUGGGAGAUCUCCACCAGAAGGUUAAUUGCUUUGUAGAUAAGUACAGGGAACAAAGGGAUGUGGCUCCACCGACAAUACCUCCAUUUAAAUCUAGUCAUGCAUCAUCGCCUGAUUUGGUAAAUCUUGGUAAGAGAUGCGAUCUUUGCGAUUGGAAGAAAUGGGUAAUUGCUCGUGGUGAGGUGCAUGCAGUUGAUCUAAAUACCCACGUUUAUGGAGAAAAAAUGGG